Molecule: non-coding RNA, 119 nt
Organism: Lupinus angustifolius (narrow-leaved blue lupine)
Lineage: Eukaryota; Viridiplantae; Streptophyta; Magnoliopsida; Fabales; Fabaceae
Source: Rfam
AUUGGCUUUCAUACCAGCACUAAUGCAUCGGAUCCCAUCGGAACUCUACAGUUAAGCAUGUUUGGGUGAGAAUAGUUCUAAGAUGAGUGACUUUCUGGGAAGUCCUCAUGUUGUACCUC